UUCAAUUUACAGCUCCACCAUCACUUAAAAGGGUUGUACCAUAAACUACAUUUCACUGUAAACAUUAUUUUCUGAGAAGGCCCACCAUUGUGCACUCGCAGGAGCAGGAUCUGACAAAACUUCAAGCUCUUCAAAACAGUGCCACGGGAUUCAAGACCUAAAACGUUCUUCACCUUCUUCUUCUGAUGGAAUUACAUUCACUAUGUGAAAGAAGGCAGUAAGAUAAUAUUUUCAUGUAAAGCGUUUGUCUUUAACGUUGUCCCGAGAAGGUGUCUACAUUGGCCUGAGAGAAAAGACCCAGGACCCUGAAAACCCCCAAUAAGAUCCAAGGGGUGGAGCGCCAAGACAACUGAAACCACCAUGACAUUGCUGGACAAUGAUCUUCUGUAUCAAGAGGCAAAUUCCAGGCUUGGUCUCUGUCCUCAAUACUGGAUGUGACAUUUUACCGGACUUUCCUAAUACCGGAUUUGACAUUUACCGGAUUUUCUGGAUUCAACAUCUAGCAGACUUUCCGAAUACUGGAUGUGACAAUU
This is a long non-coding RNA of Bufo gargarizans (Asiatic toad), 533 nucleotides long. RefSeq lists it as uncharacterized. The transcript has 3 exons. NCBI's taxonomy places the organism in Eukaryota, Metazoa, Chordata, Amphibia, Anura, Bufonidae. The record is from RefSeq and is a predicted model, not a curated record.